Molecule: ribosomal RNA, 387 nt
Filed under: Stramenopiles sp. MAST-1C
Lineage: Eukaryota
Description: partial small subunit ribosomal RNA
Rfam family: Eukaryotic small subunit ribosomal RNA
Source: RNAcentral
AUUCCAGCUCCAAUAGCGUAUAUUAAUGUUGUUGCAGUUAAAAAGCUCGUAGUUGGAUUUCUGGUGGGAGCGGCCGGUCCGCCGUAAGGUGUGUACUUGGUUGUCUCCUGUCAUCCUUGUGGGAACUGCUCUGGCAUUAAGUUGUCGGGGUUAGGGAACACAUCGUUUACUGUGAAAAAAUUAGAGUGUUUAAAGCAGGCUUAUGCCGUUGAAUACAUUAGCAUGGAAUAAUAAGAUAGGUCUCAUCCUCAUUUUGUUGGUUUGCAAGGAAGAGAAAUGAUUAACAGGGACAGUUGGGGGUAUUCGUAUUAGAUUGUCAGAGGUGAAAUUCUUGGAUUUAUUUAAGACGAACAACUGCGAAAGCAUUUACCAAGGAUGUUUUCAUUG